This 133-nucleotide small nucleolar RNA is filed under the name Castor canadensis (American beaver). RNAcentral describes it as "Small nucleolar RNA SNORA42/SNORA80 family (ENSCCNG00000026072.1)". It matches the Rfam family "Small nucleolar RNA SNORA42/SNORA80 family". From Rfam's summary of the family: The members of this family belong to the H/ACA class of snoRNAs that guide the sites of modification of uridines to pseudouridines. Human ACA42 (SNORA42) was cloned from HeLa cells by immunoprecipitation with anti-GAR1 antibody. The record is from Rfam by way of RNAcentral. Lineage: Eukaryota; Metazoa; Chordata; Mammalia; Rodentia; Castoridae.
GCAGGGUAAUGGAUUUAUGGCACAUCCUUCUCUGUGGGCCUGUCAUAGUGUACACAUGCCAGAACUGCAGCCUCGAACCAUUGCGUAGCUUUCUGGCCUGUGGGCUAUGAGCACUGAAAAAGGUGGCACAAUU